AAGAAUCAUUAAACCAAUAACACUAGAAUUUGAUAGAAUUGGAAAAUCAAUAAAUACUCAACUUUUUGAAUAACAAAGGAUUUUAAAUAGAAUUACAAAAUACAUACACCAAUAACAAGAGAUUUUAUUAAGAAUCUAAUAAUCCGUACACCAAUAACAUUAGAAUCUUAAACUCUAAAAAUCUUUAAAAGUCAUUCUCCCAAUAACUCCCCCU
RNAcentral lists this long non-coding RNA (214 nucleotides) under Capsella rubella. Its description in RNAcentral is "long non-coding RNA (CRUB_LNC002087)". The record is from RNAcentral. Lineage: Eukaryota; Viridiplantae; Streptophyta; Magnoliopsida; Brassicales; Brassicaceae.